ACUCAAAUGAAUUGACGGGGGCCCGCACAAGCAGCGGAGCGUGUGGUUUAAUUCGAGGCUACACGAAGAACCUUACCUGGGUUUGACAUCCAUGUGGUAGUUUGCCUGAAAGGGGAACGACCUUCGGGAGCAUGGACAGGUGCUGCAUGGCUGUCGUCAGCUCGUGUCGUGAGAUGUUCGGUUAAGUCCGGUAACGAGCGCAACCCUCGCCGUUAGUUACAAGUGUCUAGCGGGACUGCCCGGAGGAACUGGGAGGAAGGUGGGGAUGACGUCAAGUCAGCAUGGCCUUGAUAUUCAGGGCGACACACACGCUACAAUGGUCGGGACAAUGGGAAGCCAAGCGGCGACGCGGAGCCAAGCCAUCAAACCCGGCCUCAGUUCGGAUUGCAGGCUGCAACUCGCCUGCAUGAAGUCGGAGUUGCUAGUAAACGCGCAUCAGCCAUGGCGCGUUGAAUACGUUCCCGGGCCUUGUACACACCGCCCGU
This 485-nucleotide ribosomal RNA is filed under the name uncultured bacterium. RNAcentral's name for it is "partial 16S ribosomal RNA". It matches the Rfam family "Bacterial small subunit ribosomal RNA", at positions 899 to 1397 of the family's 1533-position model. The record is from RNAcentral.